RNAcentral lists this ribosomal RNA (1270 nucleotides) under uncultured prokaryote. Its description in RNAcentral is "partial 16S ribosomal RNA". It matches the Rfam family "Bacterial small subunit ribosomal RNA", at positions 27 to 1340 of the family's 1533-position model. The record is from RNAcentral.
GAACGAACGCUGGCGGCAGGCUUAACACAUGCAAGUCGAACGCCCGUAGCAAUACGGGAGUGGCAGACGGGUGAGUAACGCGUAGGAACCUGCCCAAAGGUACGGAACAACUCAGGGAAACUUGAGCUAAUACCGUAUAUUCCCUACGGGGGCAAGGUUGGCCGCCCUGGGAGGGGCCCGCGUUGGAUUAGCUUGUUGGUGGGGUAAAGGCCCACCAAGGCUGCGAUCCAUAGCUGGUCUGAGAGGAUGAUCAGCCACACUGGGACUGAGACACGGCCCAGACUCCUACGGGAGGCAGCAGUGGGGAAUAUUGGACAAUGGGCGCAAGCCUGAUCCAGCCAUGCCGCGUGAGUGAAGAAGGCCUUAGGGUUGUAAAGCUCUUUCACCCGCGAAGAUGAUGACGGUAGCGGGAGAAGAAGCCCCGGCUAACUCCGUGCCAGCAGCCGCGGUAAUACGGAGGGGGCAAGCGUUGUUCGGAUUUACUGGGCGUAAAGAGCCAAGUAGGCGGCUUAGUGUGUCUUUUGUGAAAUCCCACAGCUCAACUGAGGAACUGCAAGGGAAACUGCAAAGCUUGAGUCCGGGAGAGGGUAGUGGAAUUCCCAGUGUAGCGCUGAAAUGCGUAGAUAUUGGGAGGAACACCUGUGGCGAAGGCGGCUCUCUGGACCGGUACUGACGCUGAGACGCGAAAGCUAGGGGAGCAAACGGGAUUAGAUACCCCGGUAGUCCUAGCUGUAAACGAUGAACACUUGGUGUGGCGGGUAUCGACCCCUGCCGUGCCGGAGCUAACGCAUUAAGUGUUCCGCCUGGGGAGUACGGCCGCAAGGCUGAAACUCAAAGGAAUUGACGGGGGCCCGCACAAGCGGUGGAGCAUGUGGUUUAAUUCGACGCAACGCGAAGAACCUUACCUGGGUUUGAACUGCAGGUGACCGCCCCUGAAAGGGGGUUUUCCUUCGGGACACCUGUGGAGGUGCUGCAUGGCUGUCGUCAGCUCGUGUCGUGAGAUGUUGGGUUAAGUCCCGCAACGAGCGCAACCCUUGCCUCCUGUUGCCAUCAGGUCAAGCUGGGCACUCUGGAGGAACUGCCGGCGAUAAGCCGGAGGAAGGUGGGGAUGACGUCAAGUCCUCAUGGCCUUUAUGUCCCGGGCUACACACGUGCUACAUUGGCUGGUACAGAGGGUCGCAAAGCCGCGAGGUGGAGCUAAUCUCAAAAAGCCAGUCCCAGUUCGGAUCGCAGUCUGCAACUCGACUGCGUGAAGCUGGAAUCGCGAGUA